GUGCUCACUGCAGCAGCACAUACACUAAAAUUGGAAUGAUACAGAUUUAGCAUGGCCCCUGAACAAGGAUGACAUGCAAACUCGUGAAGCAUUCUAUAUUUUG
This is a small nuclear RNA of Suncus etruscus (white-toothed pygmy shrew), 103 nucleotides long. NCBI's taxonomy places the organism in Eukaryota, Metazoa, Chordata, Mammalia, Eulipotyphla, Soricidae. The record is from RefSeq and is a predicted model, not a curated record.